UACGUAGGAGACGAGCGUUGUCCGGAAUUACUGGGCGUAAAGCGCGUGUAGGCGGAUGAGCAAGUCUGCUGUGAAAGCUCCUGGCUUAACCGGGAGUGGUCGGUGGAAACUGCUCGUCUGGAGGACGGUAGAGGCUGGUGGAAUUCCCGGUGUAGUGGUGAAAUGCGUAGAGAUCGGGAGGAACACCUGUGGCGAAGGCGGCCAGCUGGGCCGGACCUGACGGCUGAGACGCGAAGGCGUGGGGAGCGAACGGG
RNAcentral lists this ribosomal RNA (254 nucleotides) under uncultured bacterium. RNAcentral's name for it is "partial 16S ribosomal RNA". It matches the Rfam family "Bacterial small subunit ribosomal RNA", at positions 524 to 776 of the family's 1533-position model. The record is from RNAcentral.